Molecule: ribosomal RNA, 452 nt
Filed under: Betaproteobacteria bacterium
Lineage: Bacteria; Pseudomonadati; Pseudomonadota; Betaproteobacteria
Description: bacterial SSU rRNA
Rfam family: Bacterial small subunit ribosomal RNA
Source: RNAcentral
GCAGUCGACGGCAGCACGGGAGCAAUCCUGGUGGCGAGUGGCGAACGGGUGAGUAAUGUAUCGGAACGUACCUUUCAGUGGGGGAUAACGUAGCGAAAGUUACGCUAAUACCGCAUAUUCUGUGAGCAGGAAAGCAGGGGAUCGCAAGACCUUGCGCUGAUUGAGCGGCCGAUAUCAGAUUAGCUAGUUGGUGAGGUAAAGGCUCACCAAGGCGACGAUCUGUAGCGGGUCUGAGAGGAUGAUCCGCCACACUGGAACUGAGACACGGUCCAGACUCCUACGGGAGGCAGCAGUGGGGAAUUUUGGACAAUGGGCGCAAGCCUGAUCCAGCCAUGCCGCGUGAGUGAAGAAGGCCUUCGGGUUGUAAAGCUCUUUCAGCCGGGAAGAAAACGCAUGGGUUAAUACCCUGUGUGGAUGACGGUACCGGAAUAAGAAGCACCGGCUAACUACGU